CACCUACGGGGGGCAGCAGUGGGGAAUAUUGCACAAUGGGGGGAACCCUGAUGCAGCGACGCCGCGUGAGUGAAGAAGUAUUUCGGUAUGUAAAGCUCUAUCAGCAGGGAAGAUAAUGACGGUACCUGACUAAGAAGCCCCGGCUAACUACGUGCCAGCAGCCGCGGUAAUACGAAGGGGGCAAGCGUUAUCCGGAUUUACUGGGUGUAAAGGGAGCGUAGGGGGCAUGGUAAGC
RNAcentral lists this ribosomal RNA (235 nucleotides) under uncultured bacterium. RNAcentral describes it as "partial 16S ribosomal RNA". It matches the Rfam family "Bacterial small subunit ribosomal RNA", at positions 335 to 588 of the family's 1533-position model. The record is from RNAcentral.